UAUAAAGAAGGAAAAGGACUAGGAAAGAAUGAAUCUGGAAUAUUAGAUCCUCUUCCAAUGACAGGAAUUUUAGGAAUGGGAGGACUAGGUUCUAAAAGGAGCAGGUUUAUAGAUAAAAAUGUCGAAUGGGAUACCAAUUUUGACCCAAUUAGUAAAUUGACUGAGACUAUCGACAGUAUUAAGAUUUCUGAGAAUUUUGAUAUUAGUCUAUUUUUACUAAAUCCUAUCAAUGUUCAGAAGGCUAGGCUAUUUUUGUUAUCGUUUAAAUAGACUUGUCGAGAUAUUUCGACUGAAACGGAUUUCAUUGACAAAGAUCUGUGGCAUCAAAUUAUUGACUUGAAGAAUAUGCUGGAUUCGAUGUCUCCUUCGACAAUUAGUAGGGCUCAUAAGCUUUCAAAUCCAUUUGAAUCUAUUGGCCGUCAUUAUUUUAUGAAUCG
Molecule: long non-coding RNA, 437 nt
Organism: Octopus sinensis (East Asian common octopus)
Lineage: Eukaryota; Metazoa; Mollusca; Cephalopoda; Octopoda; Octopodidae
Exons: 3
Source: RefSeq, a predicted model, not a curated record